Molecule: non-coding RNA, 265 nt
Organism: Epinephelus lanceolatus (giant grouper)
Lineage: Eukaryota; Metazoa; Chordata; Actinopteri; Perciformes; Serranidae
Source: RefSeq, a predicted model, not a curated record
GAGAAAGUGAAAGUACUCACAGUCAUUGUCUGCAUUAGCAGCAUUGAACAAGGACAUGAAGCAGCAGGAACAACUCCUCAUGGCUACACAUUAGUGAAAAUAUUGGAUUCAGCCCCAAAACAAAGGUUCAGCUCAUCUGCUAGUAGACAAAAGAUUAUGUGACAGAAGUAACCACAGGAAGUUGCAAGUUUCCGCAUUCAAGGCUACUGAAGACAAAGACGAGUGCUUCCCUGUGUCAGUUCACAGCUGUAGAGAAGUUCGCAGA